GACGAACGCUGGCGGCGUGCUUAACACAUGCAAGUCGAACGAAGAGCGAUGGAAGCUUGCUUCUAUCAAUCUUAGUGGCGCACGGGUGAGUAACGCGUAAUCAACCUGCCCUUCAGAGGGGGACAACAGUUGGAAACGACUGCUAAUACCGCAUACGAUCUAAUCUCGGCAUCGAGGAUAGAUGAAAGGUGGCCUCUACAUGUAAGCUAUCACUGAAGGAGGGGAUUGCGUCUGAUUAGCUAGUUGGAGGGGUAACGGCCCACCAAGGCGAUGAUCAGUAGCCGGUCGGAGAGGAUGAACGGCCACAUUGGGACUGAGACACGGCCCAGACUCCUACGGGAGGCAGCAGUGGGGAAUCUUCCGCAAUGGACGAAAGUCUGACGGAGCAACGCCGUGUGAGCGAUGACGGCCUUCGGGUUGUAAAGCUCUGUUAAUCGGGACGAAAGGCCUUCUUGCGAAUAGUGAGAAGGAUUGACGGUACCGGAAUAGAAAGCCACGGCUAACUACGUG
This 510-nucleotide ribosomal RNA is filed under the name uncultured bacterium. RNAcentral describes it as "partial 16S ribosomal RNA". It matches the Rfam family "Bacterial small subunit ribosomal RNA", at positions 28 to 507 of the family's 1533-position model. The record is from RNAcentral.